RNAcentral lists this ribosomal RNA (315 nucleotides) under Morebilus fumosus. RNAcentral's name for it is "partial 12S ribosomal RNA". The record is from RNAcentral. Lineage: Eukaryota; Metazoa; Arthropoda; Arachnida; Araneae; Trachycosmidae.
AGGUAGUAUUAUUUAAAUAAACCUAUUUAAAAAUGGCGGCAUAUCAUCUUAUUAGAGGAACUUGUUCUUUAAUCGACAAUCCCCGAUUAAUUUCACUUAGAUUAAAAAUUUAUAUACCGCCGUCUUAAGAAUCAAUAUAAUUAUCAAAUUCUCAAUAAUAAAUAAAAAGUUAGGUCAAGGUGUAAUCUAUAUCUAAGAAAGAAAUGAGUUACAUUAAAACCAAUUUAAGGAUUUAGUUUUUAAAAAAACUUUCAAAAAAGGAUUUAUAAGUAUUAUGAUAAUAUUAAUUUCAUAUGAAUUAGAUAAUAAAUGUGC